AGUGACGCGACGGCGGGCGCGCGCGGCGCAUUUCCGCCUCUGGCGAAUGGCUCGUCUGUAGUGCACGCCGCGGGCCCAGCUGCGACCCCGGCCCCGCCCCCGGGACCCCGGCCAUGGACGAACUGUUCCCCCUCAUCUUCCCGGCAGAGCCAGCCCAGGCCUCUGGCCCCUAUGUGGAGAUCAUUGAGCAGCCCAAGCAGCGGGGCAUGCGCUUCCGCUACAAGUGCGAGGGGCGCUCCGCGGGCAGCAUCCCAGGCGAGAGGAGCACAGAUACCACCAAGACCCACCCCACCAUCAAGGUCAGCACUGCGCCAGGGUGUGCGGGGAAGGGACUGUGGAACCCCAGCCCUCUGUGUUUGGGAGUCAGGUUUGGAUGUCUGGGCCUCUGUACUUUGGACAGAUCAAUGGCUACACAGGACCAGGGACAGUGCGCAUCUCCCUGGUCACCAAGGACCCUCCUCACCGGCCUCACCCCCACGAGCUUGUAGGAAAGGACUGCCGGGAUGGCUUCUAUGAGGCUGAGCUCUGCCCGGACCGCUGCAUCCACAGGUGAGGUCCCUGCAGGCUAGGAGGCCCAGCAUGAGGGGACAGGAGGUGGGCUAU
This 603-nucleotide small RNA is filed under the name Pan troglodytes (chimpanzee). Its description in RNAcentral is "retained intron". Lineage: Eukaryota; Metazoa; Chordata; Mammalia; Primates; Hominidae. The record is from RNAcentral.